CGGAGUCACUCCGGUUCGGCUGCGGUGGGCUGGAGCUCCCUCCCUCCCGCGGGGCAAAGUCAGUUUAAUGCCCGAUUUCACCCCCAGAGGACAAGCCUGAGAGUCUCCAAAGGGGCUUUGAGGUCCCCAGAGCCAUGUGCAAGCACCAUGUUCCUGGCCGAGGACCCCUGGGGGCUGGUGGCCCUGGGACAGCGUCCCCCCCCACGUCCCCCCUGGUGAGCACCCCUGUCCCCCCCCGGUCCCCCGGGUCCCCUCCUGUC
RNAcentral lists this long non-coding RNA (260 nucleotides) under Aquila chrysaetos chrysaetos. Its description in RNAcentral is "lncRNA (ENSACCG00020016693.1)". Lineage: Eukaryota; Metazoa; Chordata; Aves; Accipitriformes; Accipitridae. The record is from RNAcentral.